CAGCCGCCGCGGGAAUACGUAGGUGGCAAGCGUUGUCCGGAAUUAUUGGGCGUAAAGCGCGCGCAGGCGGAUCAGUUAGUCUGUCUUAAAAGUUCGGGGCUUAACCCCGUGAUGGGAUGGAAACUGCUGAUCUAGAGUAUCGGAGAGGAAAGUGGAAUUCCUAGUGUAGCGGUGAAAUGCGUAGAUAUUAGGAAGAACACCAGUGGCGAAGGCGACUUUCUGGACGAAAACUGACGCUGAGGCGCGAAAGCCAGGGGAGCGAACGGGAUUAGAUACCCCAGUAGUCCCUGUCUCUUAUACA
Molecule: ribosomal RNA, 301 nt
Filed under: uncultured bacterium
Lineage: Bacteria
Description: partial 16S ribosomal RNA
Rfam family: Bacterial small subunit ribosomal RNA
Source: RNAcentral